CAGGGGCUAGGUGAGAGUAGGGGGUAGUGGUAGGGUGUAGUCAGGGGCUAGGUGAGAGUAGGGGGUAGCGGUAGGGUGUUGUCAGGGGCUAGGUGAGAGUAGGGGGUAGCGGUAGGGUGUAGUCAGGGGCUAGGUGAGAGUAGGGGGGUAGCGGUAGGGUGUUGUCAGGGGCUAGGUGAGAGUAGGGGGUAGCGGUAGGGUGUAGUCAGGGGCUAGGUGAGAGUAGGGGGUAGCGGUAGGGUGUGGUCAGGGGCUAGGUGAGAGUAGGGGGUAGCGGUAGGGUGUUGUCAGGGGCUAGGUGAGAGUAGGGGUAGCGGUAGGAUGUUGUCAGGGGCUAGGUGAGAGUAGGGGGUAGCGGUAGGGUGUUGUCAGGGGCUAGGUGAGAGUAGGGGGUAGCGGUAGGGUGUAGUCAGGGGCUAGGUGAGAGUAGGGGGUAGCGGUAGGGUGUUGUCUGACUCCGCCAGAUCUAGCGAAGCAACUGAAAGCACCAAUCCAACAAGGUCACAUGAUCCUGCUAUAGAAACCAAAGCAGAACAAGUUGUCAAGUAACUUCGAACCAGAGCCAUACACCG
Molecule: long non-coding RNA, 572 nt
Organism: Oncorhynchus tshawytscha (Chinook salmon)
Lineage: Eukaryota; Metazoa; Chordata; Actinopteri; Salmoniformes; Salmonidae
Source: Ensembl